CUACGGGUGUGCUGAGAGAGACCACCCUGGUGUCUACGCCAAGGUCUGCCUCUUCAACGAGUGGCUGGAGAACACCAUGGCCAGCUAUUAAGUCUGAUCCUGCGACCACCAUCUUAUUCUGUUGCCUUUCUUCUAUCAUUUUAACUUCAUUGUUGUCGUUAAGUUUUGAACAAUGUGCAGUCAUUUUCCAUCUGAGUCAAUAAAGUCUUUGGUCUUAACUUUUAAA
Anarrhichthys ocellatus (wolf-eel) is the source of this 226-nucleotide long non-coding RNA. RefSeq lists it as uncharacterized. The record is from RefSeq and is a predicted model, not a curated record. Lineage: Eukaryota; Metazoa; Chordata; Actinopteri; Perciformes; Anarhichadidae. The transcript has 2 exons.